Molecule: ribosomal RNA, 549 nt
Filed under: uncultured bacterium
Lineage: Bacteria
Description: bacterial SSU rRNA
Rfam family: Bacterial small subunit ribosomal RNA
Source: RNAcentral
UGGGGAAUUUUGGACAAUGGGCGCAAGCCUGAUCCAGCCAUGCCGCGUGUCUGAAGAAGGCCUUCGGGUUGUAAAGGACUUUUGUCAGGGAAGAAAAGGACAGGGUUAAUACCCCUGUUUGAUGACGGUACCUGAAGAAUAAGCACCGGCUAACUACGUGCCAGCAGCCGCGGUAAUACGUAGGGUGCGAGCGUUAAUCGGAAUUACUGGGCGUAAAGCGAGCGCAGACGGUUACUUAAGCAGGAUGUGAAAUCCCCGGGCUCAACCUGGGAACUGCGUUCUGAACUGGGUGACUAGAGUGUGUCAGAGGGAGGUAGAAUUCCACGUGUAGCAGUGAAAUGCGUAGAGAUGUGGAGGAAUACCGAUGGCGAAGGCAGCCUCCUGGGAUAACACUGACGUUCAUGCUCGAAAGCGUGGGUAGCAAACAGGAUUAGAUACCCUGGUAGUCCACGCCCUAAACGAUGUCAAUUAGCUGUUGGGCAACUUGAUUGCUUAGUAGCGUAGCUAACGCGUGAAAUUGACCGCCUGGGGAGUACGGUCGCAAGAUUA